GACGAACGCUGGCGGCGUGCUUAACACAUGCAAGUCGAACGAUGAAGCCGGAGCUUGCUCUGGUGAAUUAGUGGCGAACGGGUGAGUAACACGUGAGUAACCUGCCCUUGACUCUGGGAUAACUGCGGGAAACUGUAGCUAAUACCGGAUACGACCCUCGGAGGCAUCUCCUGGGGGUGGAAAGAAUUUCGGUCAAGGAUGGACUCGCGGCCUAUCAGCUAGUUGGUGAGGUAAAGGCUCACCAAGGCGACGACGGGUAGCCGGCCUGAGAGGGCGACCGGCCACACUGGGACUGAGACACGGCCCAGACGCCUACGGGAGGCAGCAGUGGGGAAUAUUGCGCAAGGGGCGAAAGCCUGACGCAGCAACGCCGCGUGGGGGAUGACGGCCUUCGGGUUGUAAACCGCUUUCGGCAGGGAAGAAGCCGCAAGGUGACGGUACCUGCAGAAGAAGCACCGGCUAACUACGUGCAGCAGCCGCCGUAA
Molecule: ribosomal RNA, 485 nt
Filed under: uncultured bacterium
Lineage: Bacteria
Description: partial 16S ribosomal RNA
Rfam family: Bacterial small subunit ribosomal RNA
Source: RNAcentral